UACGAAGGGGGCAAGCGUUGUCCGGAAUCAUUGGGCGUAAAGCGCGCGUAGGCGGCCCGGUAAGUCCGCUGUAAAAGUCCAGGGCUCAACCCUGGAAAGCCGGUGGAUACUGUCGAGCUCGAGUCCGGAAGAGGCGAGUGGAAUUCCUGGUGUAGCGGUGAAAUGCGCAGAUAUCAGGAGGAACACCAAUGGCGAAGGCAGCUCGCUGGGACGUGACCGACGCUGAGACGCGAAAGCGUGGGGAGCAAACAGG
Molecule: ribosomal RNA, 253 nt
Filed under: uncultured bacterium
Lineage: Bacteria
Description: partial 16S ribosomal RNA
Rfam family: Bacterial small subunit ribosomal RNA
Source: RNAcentral